This 1212-nucleotide ribosomal RNA is filed under the name Triticum aestivum (bread wheat). RNAcentral describes it as "partial small subunit ribosomal RNA". Lineage: Eukaryota; Viridiplantae; Streptophyta; Magnoliopsida; Poales; Poaceae. The record is from RNAcentral.
AUGAACGCCAGGUUAUGUGCGCCGUUUACCGAGGAGGAAGUGUCGAAUGCACUGUUUCAAAUUGGCCCGCUUAAAGCUCCGGGCACGGAUGGCUUCCCGGCAAGGUUCUAUCAACGGAAUUGGGCAGCUCUAAAAUCUGAAAUCACAGCUGCUGUGUUGGAGUUCUUUGUCUCUGGCUCCAUGCCAGAAGGGGUUAACGAUACGGCGAUCGUCCUCAUCCCGAAAGUUCCUCAUCCCAAGGAGCUCAAGGAUUUCAGGCCGAUCAGCCUUUGCAAUGUUAUUUACAAGUUGGUGUCUAAAUGUUUGGUUAACCAUCUCCGUCCCUGUCUGUCGGAGUUGAUUUCUGAGAAUCAAAGUGCUUUUAUUCCGGGCCGGCUCAUCUUAGAUAAUUCUAUUAUUGCCUUUGAGUGCAUCCAUCACAUACAAUCGUUGAAGAACACCAGUCGGGCGGCCUGCGCGUACAAACUCGAUCUUUCAAAGGCGUAUGAUCGGGUCGACUGGGAUUUUCUGGAGAAGGCGCUGAGUAGAUGGGGCUUCUCGGAACAGUGGAUAGCUUGGAUAAUGUCUUGUGUCAAAUCUGUCCGUUAUUCGGUUAAACUGAAUGGGAAACUUCUGUCUCUAAUGGCAUCAUCGCGAGGCCUUCGUCAAGGUGACCCAUUGUCUUCGUUUUUGUUUCUCUUUGUCACUGAUGCAUUAUCUGCUCUCCUAUCUAAAUCAGUGAAUGAAGGUAGCUUGAACGGGGUGAGCAUUUGUCGGGGUGCACCGGAGAUAUCUCAUCUCCUCUUUGUGGAUGACACCUUGCUAUUUUUUGAAGCUUUAGGCCAGCAGGCGAAUGUUGUUAAAGGUUUGUUGAACACUUAUUCCUCGGCGACGGGUCAACUUAUAAACCCCGAGAAGUGUUCCACCCUUUUUUUUGACAAUUGUGGUGGGUCAGUCGUGGAUGAGAUCAAGAGUACAUUGGAGGUAACGCAACAGGUGUUUGAACCAAAAUACCUUGGACUCCCGGUCCCUGAAGGAAGAGUUCACAAGGGGCAGUUUGAGUCACUACAAGAUAGAUUGAGGAAAAUUCUUAUUGAUUGGAGUGAACAAUAUGUUUCAGGUGGAAAUAAAGAGAUUCUUAUCAAGGCCGGGGCUCAGGCGAUUCCCACCUAUGUAAUGAGUGUGUUCAAAUUGCCGGCCUCAGUGUGUGAUGAUCUAACCACGAUGAUGUAG